Molecule: long non-coding RNA, 847 nt
Filed under: Nicotiana benthamiana
Lineage: Eukaryota; Viridiplantae; Streptophyta; Magnoliopsida; Solanales; Solanaceae
Description: long non-coding RNA (NBEN_LNC040915)
Source: RNAcentral
GCGCAUAUGACAAAUAAUGGUUGAGCUAGAUAAAAUUAGUAUAAUUCACGUGAAUAAUAAGCGUAAAUGAACAUUUUGAAGCUAAAAUAAUUAAAAUAAGAAGACAAAAUCAUUAAAACAAGAACGAAUAAUAACUGUAGUAAAAAUCAGAGGUUAUGAUGAUAAUUUCUUCUUCUAUCUCUGAGAAACCGGUGUUUGCAGCCAUGACGAUGUCUAAUCUCUUGCCUUAUCUUCAAUUUGUAGAUCCGAGUCUCAAUUGGAAGGUUAUUUUCUUAAGUGCAAACCUACAGGCUCUUUUCCUCCAUUUUCAAAAGUCUCUCUCUGUUCUUUCAUUGAUUUUCUUAGAUUUGAAUCCCUCUCUGUUUCGCCAUUGAUUUUCUUCGAUCUGAGCCCUUAUCUAUUUUGUCAUUGAUUUUCUCCAUUUAGAAAAAAAAAAAAACAAAUCAACAGCUUGGCAAAAGCAGAAGCAAACAUGAUUUAAGUGGGCUUUGGACAUAAAAGUCCCCGAAACGAUGACGGAGAAGAGAAGAGAAACAGAAGCGGUUCAUACUUUCUAGGCCCUAACUAAGCACUAAGUGUAAAAUGAGGAAAAAAUUUAGGUUUGGGGGGAUAAUAAUCAUUUCUUAUUUUAAUUUCCUAUGUGGCCAUGAUAAAUGACCUGGAGCCUACGUGAUUUAAUUUUCUUGACGUGGCGUCCGAUGUGUAGGAGAUUGUAUUACACGCACUGGCGGUCUCGUAUCGUAAGCGUUUAUUAUAUAAGCUUUGAAGAAGUGUAAGUGUUUAAUUGACAAAUUGUUAAGUUUGAUGACCAGCUUAACAAAGUGGGACAAAUAUAAUUUCCAUUUAC